This 497-nucleotide ribosomal RNA is filed under the name uncultured bacterium. RNAcentral describes it as "partial 16S ribosomal RNA". It matches the Rfam family "Bacterial small subunit ribosomal RNA", at positions 28 to 507 of the family's 1533-position model. The record is from RNAcentral.
GACGAACGCUGGCGGCGUGCCUAAUACAUGCAAGUAGAACGCUGAAGAGAGGAGCUUGCUCUUCUUGGAUGAGUUGCGAACGGGUGAGUAACGCGUAGGUAACCUGCCUUGUAGCGGGGGAUAACUAUUGGAAACGAUAGCUAAUACCGCAUAACAAUGGAUGACACAUGUCAUUUAUUUGAAAGGGGCAAUUGCUCCACUACAAGAUGGACCUGCGUUGUAUUAGCUAGUAGGUGAGGUAAUGGCUCACCUAGGCGACGAUACAUAGCCGACCGGAGAGGGUGAUCGGCCAAACUGGGACUGAGACACGGCCCAGACUCCUACGGGAGGCAGCAGUAGGGAAUCUUCGGCAAUGGGGGCAACCCUGACCGAGCAACGCCGCGGGAGUGAAGAAGGUUCUCGGAUCGUAAAGCUCUGUUGUAAGUCAAGAACGGGUGUGAGAGUGGAAAGUUCACACUGUGACGGUAGCUUACCAGAAAGGGACGGCUAACUACGUG